Molecule: long non-coding RNA, 725 nt
Organism: Gossypium arboreum
Lineage: Eukaryota; Viridiplantae; Streptophyta; Magnoliopsida; Malvales; Malvaceae
Exons: 2
Source: RefSeq, a predicted model, not a curated record
ACAUUCUAAUAAUUUCUUAUAAUGAAAUUAUGUUCAUUUCAAAACUCUUCUUUAGCCUCUCCAUAUUUUUUACAAUAUUCCAGUGAUAGACUAAGGCAAAGUUCGUUCGCUGAUUGUUGUAGAGGUGCUACUACUUUGAUCACUAUUGUUGUUGUAUCUUGAGAGACAUUCGACCAACAUUUCUCCAAAUACCGCAAAAGCAGCCGAAUCUGUCUUAAGGAAACUGUGUUUCACAGGCCUCAACAUUUCGAGAGCAUUUGGGAGUGAAAGGAGUGAAAAACUAGCCAAAAUCGAACAAAAAGAGUUGUUUUCAGGAUCCUCGUGGGUUGACCAAAUGCUCAUGUGCCAACUCAUGUCAAUUUCGCACCCUACUUCUCAAAUACGCAGAAAAAUCUAAUUUUUAGCCUUUCUGAGCAUUCUAAAGUCUAUAAAUACCAAUUAGAAGAAGACCUAAGAGGAAAAUCAGAGAAGAUUGAAGAAAACACUCGAAGAAUGCCAUCGGAAUCAACUUGAAAGUAGAUCUCCCUCAAGAUCGAAGAUCUCCGUUUAAUUUCUUUCGAAGUUUUAUUGAGUUUCUUUAUGUCUUGUGGUUAUCUUAACUUUAAGAUAUUUCUAUUCAGGAUUAUGAACUAAAUUCCCUACAUAUCUAGGGAAGAUGAAACCUAAGAUGAAUCUUAUUUUUUGAUUUCUGAUUUACAUAAUAAAUAUUUGAUUCUUGUUCUCAA